Molecule: ribosomal RNA, 467 nt
Filed under: uncultured bacterium
Lineage: Bacteria
Description: partial 16S ribosomal RNA
Rfam family: Bacterial small subunit ribosomal RNA
Source: RNAcentral
GACGAACGCUGGCGGCGUGCUUAACACAUGCAAGUCGAACGGAAAGGCCCUGCUUUUGUGGGGUGCUCGAGUGGCGAACGGGUGAGUAACACGUGAGUAACCUGCCCUUGACUUUGGGAUAACUUCAGGAAACUGGGGCUAAUACCGGAUAGGAGCUCCUGCUGCAUGGUGGGGGUUGGAAAGUUUCGGCGGUUGGGUAUGGACUCGCGGCUUAUCAGCUUGUUGGUGGGGUAGUGGCUUACCAAGGCUUUGACGGGUAGCCGGCCUGAGAGGGUGACCGGCCACAGUGGGCUUGGGGUAGGGCCCGGAGUCAUACGGGGGGCAGGGGGGGGAAAUUUGGCAAAGGGGGCGGAGGGCGGGUGGAGAACCGCCGGGGGGGGGAAGGCGGCCUUGGGGUGGGAAACCGCUUUGGCCUGGAACGAGGGGGGAGGGAGGGAAAUGGGGAAAAAAGCCCCGGUAAAUAAGUG